UCAAGCUACAAAGGGCGCAUGGUGAAUGCCUUGGCAUCAGGAGCCGAUGAAGGACGUGAUAAGCUGCGAUAAGCUUCGGGUAGGCGCACAUAGCCAGUGAUCCGGAGAUUUCCGAAUGAGGGAACUCACAUGGGAAACCCCAUGUACCGUAUAGUGAAUACAUAGCUAUACGGAGGUAAACCUAGGGAACUGAAACAUCUAAGUACCUAGAGGAAGAGAAAGAAAAAUCGAUUUUCUGAGUAGCGGCGAGCGAAAGGGAAAGAGCCCAAACCAGUGACUUGUCACUGGGGUUGCGGACAGAGCAUUAACGAGAAGAUGUUAUUAACCGAACAUAACUGGAAAGUUAGACCGUAGGAGGUAAUAGUCCUGUAGGUGAAAGUAACAUUUAUCAAGCUUUGAUCCAGAGUACCACGAGACACGUGAAACCUUGUGGGAAGCAGGGAGGACCACCUCCCAAGGCUAAAUACUACCUGAUGACCGAUAGUGAAGCAGUACCGUGAGGGAAAGGUGAAAAGAACCCCGGGAGGGGAGUGAAAUAGAACCUGAAACCGUGUGCCUACAACCGGUCAAAGCCCCAUAUGAGGGUGAUGACGUGCUUUUUGUAGAACGAGCCAACGAGUUACGGUAUGUAGCAAGGUUAAGUACUUAAGGUACGGAGCCGAAGGGAAACCGAGUCUUAAUAGGGCGACUAGUUGCAUGCCGUAGACCCGAAACCGGGUGACCUAUCCAUGGCCAGGUUGAAGCGAGGGUAAAACCUCGUGGAGGACCGAACCACGUUGCUGUUGAAAAAGCAUGGGAUGAGCUGUGGAUAGCGGAGAAAUUCCAAUCGAACUCGGAGAUAGCUGGUUCUCCCCGAAAUAGCUUUAGGGCUAGCGUCGGAUAUGUGUAGUGGAGGUAGAGCACUGAAUGGGCUAGGGGGCAUAUCGCUUACCGAACCUUAUCAAACUCCGAAUGCCAUAUACAUUUAGUCCGGCAGUCAGACUACGAAUGAUAAGAUCCGUGGUCAAAAGGGAAACAGCCCAGAUCGUCAGCUAAGGUCCCAAAGUGUAAGUUAAGUGGAAAAGGAUGUGGGAUUUCUAAGACAACUAGGAUGUUGGCUUAGAAGCAGCCACUCAUUUAAAGAGUGCGUAAUAGCUCACUAGUCGAGAGAUCCUGCGCCGAAAAUGUCCGGGGCUAAAACUUACCACCGAAGCUACGGGCUUGCGUAAGCAAGCGGUAGGGGAGCGUCGUAAUCGGGCUGAAGUCGUACCGUAAGGAGCGGUGGACUGAUUACGAGUGAGAAUGUUGGCAUUAGUAGCGAGAUGUAGGUGAGAAUCCUACAGGCCGAAUAUCUAAGGUUUCCUCAGGAAGGCUCGUCCGCUGAGGGUUAGUCGGGACCUAAGCCGAGGCCGAAAGGCGUAGGCGAUGGACAACAGGUUGAUAUUCCUGUACCACUACCAUCGUUAUUAUCGAGGGUGUGACGGAGAAGGAUAGUGUGUGCUAGCGAUUGGAAAUGCUAGUCUAAGCGUUUAGGCAGUUACGGUAGGCAAAUCCGCUGUAAUGUUAAUGCUGAGGCGUGAUGGGGAAGGCCCUUGAGGCUGAAGUACAUGAUUCCAUGCUUCCAAGAAAAGCAUCUAGAGAGAGAAGUAGUGCCCGUACCGCAAACCGACACAGGUAGAUGAGGAGAGAAUCCUAAGGCCGGCGGAAGAAUUGCAGUUAAGGAACUAGGCAAAUUGACCCCGUAAGUUAGCGAGAAGGGGUGCCUACGAGAGUAGGCCGCAGAGAAUAGGCCCAAGCAACUGUUUAGCAAAAACACAGGUCUCUGCUAAAGCGCAAGCUGAUGUAUAGGGGCUGACGCCUGCCCGGUGCUGGAAGGUUAAGGGGAACACUUAGCGCAAGCGAAGGUGUGAACUUAAGCCCCAGUAAACGGCGGCCGUAACUAUAACGGUCCUAAGGUAGCGAAAUUCCUUGUC
RNAcentral lists this ribosomal RNA (1952 nucleotides) under human gut metagenome. RNAcentral describes it as "bacterial LSU rRNA". It matches the Rfam family "Bacterial large subunit ribosomal RNA", at positions 3 to 1973 of the family's 2925-position model. The record is from RNAcentral.